Molecule: long non-coding RNA, 2424 nt
Organism: Papaver somniferum (opium poppy)
Lineage: Eukaryota; Viridiplantae; Streptophyta; Magnoliopsida; Ranunculales; Papaveraceae
Exons: 6
Source: RefSeq, a predicted model, not a curated record
CGACUCUUCUCUUAAUUUCCAUCUGUAACACUUGCCAAAGCUAAGCUGCAAUUACUAGGUUUUGAAUUCUUCUCCAUCUUUUCAUCCAUAACGUAUGAAAUCAAUUAGCAGUUUAGCACCACCAUUACUCCCUUUAAUUCGAACCAAAAUAAUCAAACCAAGUCCUCAUGCGUUACCAAAAUAGAAGAUACCCAUUAAUAACACCAUUAUUUCUUCUUACCAAUCACGUUCGACUGCAUAAACCUCCCCAAAAGUUAUCUUGCACAGGUUCUCAAUGGUUACCAAUCUCCUUUCUUAAGUUUCCGUGAUUUUGGUAUUUUUCGAGGGAAAUCUCUCUGAUUUUGAUAUUUUUCUUAAUCUUUUUUCUUGAUUUUCUCAUCCUGGGUUUGGAUUAAUAAUAAAGGUAUUGGAGAUGUGUGCUUUUCUCAACAUGGGUUUUGAUUGUUUAUCUAUACAAAGAAGGAUGUCCUGAUUUGGGUGUUUCUGCACUUAUCAGGGGCAACAACAACCUAGAAUCAUCAUAGCAGAAAAAUGAAAAUGAGAUUUCUCGGAAACUCAUCUAAGAAUGUCGAUGUGGCAGCAUAAUGUUAUAUCUUCCUCUCUCAAGAGUAUGUAUGGCCGCAAGGGAAUUACGAGUUCGUAUGUUAUCCGGCCUAUGCUUACUUGAUGCCAAGGUAUGUAAUUUAUUUUGAACCCAACUACUACUUUAAACUGCCGCAUUUAUAUGUUUCUGAGUGAUUCUUUCAUUUUGUAGUGUUCACAGAAUUGUUAAUCUGUAUCAUUUAUACAAAAUGCAUAAAAACCAAACAUACAAAUCCUGUCUUAUGUACAUUUAUGCCUCAUUGUUAUAUAAGCUCAAUGAAAAGUUAUUUUAAGCCACUGAACUAAUUAGUGUGUGUGUAUUUUUUCAUUUGGUACACGGGCAUGAGGCAUCACAAGGUAAUGGAAAUUUAAUUAGGCUCUUCAGGAAAUUUCGGAAGUUGGGGUAACUUUUAUACUGCACUUAGUGGUGCUACAGAAAUCAACGGAAACCUUACAGUUGGAAGAGAUAAGUAAACCACCAGUGAAGAUGAUCCAGAUGUUUUUCUUAAAUUGAGUAGGUUCAGGCAUAUAAUGUUCAAGACCAAGGAAAGUUACAAUCAAACAUAGUCUUGCUAUAUACUAUAUCACUGAAGUAUUUCUUUGUUAUCUUCUUACUCCAGAUGUUUUUAUUUGUUCCCGAAUUAUCGAUACGGCUGCCAUGGUCUUCUUUCAUUUUAUAGGUGGUCAUUUUGGACUUAGCAUAAUGAUUUAUUCUUUUUAGGUGGUCAUUUGAAGGAUGGAUCGCUAGAAAAAAAUCGCCCUACUAUAAAUGACUCUUGCGCCUUUUUUGAGUGGAAUAUCGAGCUUAAGCCUAUGGAUUCCACCACAAUGAAAAUGCCGCCCUACAAAUUCUCUUUUACUGCUUUUGAAGAACUGAGUCUAACACUGCAAACAUAUACCUCCCAUUUUUUAUAUCAUUAGUUUUGUCCCCAAUGUGAUUUUAAUUAUUUUCACUUCUUAUGGUCAAGCAGAUGUGGUCGGCAUUCUUACCACCAGCUUGACAACUCUACAAAAAUUUAAGAAAGUAAAUGGCCAAUGAUCCAUAAUGCGCGACCUAACUCUCAAGAACCUGAGCGGUGUUAACGUGAAGAUUACUCUGUGGGGUGACUCGACGAGCGAGCUAAGCUGGAACUUGGACCAACAUGGUGUUGAGUAUGCACCGAUUGUGGUUGUGGUAACGGGUACCUACAUAAAAAAAAUAUUAAGGAAAAUUAUCUUUGUCAUCAACUAAUUCCACCAAGAUCUACUUGAACAUAGAGCUUCCUGAAGUGAUGGAUAUGCGGCAAAGGUGCUGCCAAAAAACACCACCCAUCAGAUAACUACCUACCAAAAGAUGGAUUUGCCACUGCGGCAUUUUUGCUAUUGGGUAACCGAAAGAGAAUUUCUGAACUAAUGGUGGCCAAAUGGCCAAAUGGAAUGCCGGGUGUAACAUGAUGGUUGUACAACCGCUAAUCGUAAUCGGCUUAUGACAGAUGAUGGUUGGUACUAUUGGAAAUGUGGCAAUCACACAACAAAAUUAGUUGGAGAAGAGGGCCACCAAGAGCGAAGCAAAGAUCGAUGAACCCAUACCCAGGUGUUGUUACAGAGUUUCUAAUGGAAAUAUUUCCCUUCAUGCUAUGAUUCGAAGUCCAAGACCCUACCAGCUCUACUAUUUUUGUUGCAGUUGAUAGUGAGGUGCAAAAGAUCAACCAAGCAACAACAACAAAAUCUCAUAAAUUAGACCUUGAUCCAGCAAUUUCACUCAGUUAAUUGUAUAAAUUAGGUGCUUGAGCUCACAAAUGGAAAAAUGUUGUGACCGUUUCGUUUUAGAAAAUAAGUUAACUACCAAGUGCAAUCUCAAAA